AUGACAAAAGUCGACAAGAGUUGCAACUCUUCCGAAGACCAUAACCGGCGAUUUCACAUAUCGAAAAUCCCAGAGACCCAUAUUAAAAACAUAAAUAGAAACCUUACUCUAGAGACUAACACAAACAAGGGAUAAUGACUUGAAAUACUUAAAGAUCAAAAGAACUCAAACUGAAAUCCAUAACUGCACUAGGUCGCCAAUCAUAACCAAGAACCCGAAGACGCACGAGUUGAACUCAAAAACAGAGACUUGAGAAGACCACAAUCCAUCAAGGUCACAACCACAAACUCACGAAAAACAACACCGGCGGAAACA
Molecule: long non-coding RNA, 315 nt
Filed under: Brassica rapa (field mustard)
Lineage: Eukaryota; Viridiplantae; Streptophyta; Magnoliopsida; Brassicales; Brassicaceae
Description: long non-coding RNA (BRAP_LNC002438)
Source: RNAcentral